GCGCCGCCGCCCCGCCCCACAAGGCCCCGCGCGGCCGCGGCCUCUCCUCAGCGCGGCGGCUCCGCGGCCCGAGCGGCGGCCAUGGCGCCUCCUGAGCGCGGCGGCAAGGUGAGCGGGCAUGGACACGAUCCAGUAACACCUUAUUCCUACUUGGAGAAGUUGCUAAGGUUUCUGUUGGUUUGAGGACACUGCUGGACUUGAGUUCACAUGUGUGGUUCAUUAGGUGUGUAAUGUUACUUAUCCC
Long non-coding RNA from Camarhynchus parvulus, 244 nucleotides. Lineage: Eukaryota; Metazoa; Chordata; Aves; Passeriformes; Thraupidae. The record is from Ensembl.